RNAcentral lists this small RNA (655 nucleotides) under Pongo abelii (Sumatran orangutan). RNAcentral's name for it is "retained intron". The record is from RNAcentral. Lineage: Eukaryota; Metazoa; Chordata; Mammalia; Primates; Hominidae.
UGGGCCGGGGGUGAGGCUUGGUGGGUGCCAGGGGUGCUGAGGCGGCCGAGGAGGGCACUGGGAGCUGCGUUCCGGGAGAGCUGUCUAAGGACGCGGAACCGGGUGGGGAGGCCAGGGAGGUAACCAAGAGUCCGAGCCGGGCCUGGUAAUUCUGAGGGAACCGGGACCGCAGUAUCCAGACGCUCCGAUCUGUACGAGCCGGGCCUCGGGCGUGGUCCGUGGGCGUGACCUUGAGGGUGACCCGGAGCGAGCUCCGCGAAGGGGGAUUUUGCCCGUUCUGAUCCCGCGGAAGCGCCAUCGCUGGCGGCGGGUCCCCGCGCGGAGCGGGCGCUGCGUGUUCGCGCGCGCGCGCGCGCGCUGAAUGGGGGUGGCCUCCUGCGCCCAACCUGCUGCAUUUUAGGACUGUUUCUUUUUCCAAAAGAGGAGCUCAAAAGAGAAAGUUCAUCUAGAAAUCUCAAAGCCAUGUCUCAGGUGAGAUGAUGUUUCCUCUCUUUCUGAAAUAACUUUUUUUCAUGGUGUAUGAACGUGAGCUUCCCUGUCCUUUAACCUUCCCUGAUGAUUUGCUUCCAUGAAAUUAGUCUUCAGUCAGGGCCAGAUUAGGAUGAGGCAGGCAAGUGGCAUGAGGUGAAAUAUUUAAGGGGUACCCUCAGGGCUG